UGGCGGCAGGCUUAACAUAUGCAAGUCGAGCGGUAGCAGAUCUAGCUUGCUAGAUGCUGACGAGCGGCGGACGGGUGAGUAACGCGUAGGAACCUGCCCAGUAGUGGGGGAUAGCCCGGGGAAACUCGGAUUAAUACCGCAUACGCUCUACGGAGGAAAGAGGGGGCUUCGGCUCUCGCUAUUGGAUGGGCCUGCGUGAGAUUAGCUAGUUGGUGAGGUAAUGGCUCACCAAGGCGACGAUCUCUAGCUGGUCUGAGAGGAUGAUCAGCCACACUGGGACUGAGACACGGCCCAGACUCCUACGGGAGGCAGCAGUGGGGAAUAUUGCACAAUGGGCGCAAGCCUGAUGCAGCCAUGCCGCGUGUGUGAAGAAGGCUUUCGGGUUGUAAAGCACCUUCAGUGGGGAGGAAGGCCUCGUAGUUAAUAGCUGCGAGGAUUGACGUUACCCACAGAAGAAGCACCGGCUAACUCCGUG
This 475-nucleotide ribosomal RNA is filed under the name uncultured bacterium. RNAcentral's name for it is "bacterial SSU rRNA". It matches the Rfam family "Bacterial small subunit ribosomal RNA", at positions 37 to 507 of the family's 1533-position model. The record is from RNAcentral.